CUACGGGUGGCUGCAGUGGGGAAUAUUGCACAAUGGGCGCAAGCCUGAUGCAGCAACGCCGCGUGAGGGACGACGGCCUUCGGGUUGUAAACCUCUUUUAGUAGGGAAGAAGCGAAAGUGACGGUACCUUCGGAAAAAGCACCGGCUAACUACGUGCCAGCAGCCGCGGUAAUACGUAGGGUGCAAGCGUUAUCCGGAAUUAUUGGGCGUAAAGAGCUCGUAGGCGGUUUGUCGCGUCUGCUGUGAAAACUGGGGGCUCAACCCCCAGCCUGCAGUGGGUACGGGCAGACUAGAGUGCGGUAGGGGAGAUUGGAACUCCUGGUGUAGCGGUGGAAUGCGCAGAUAUCAGGAAGAACACCGAUGGCGAAGGCAGAUCUCUGGGCCGUAACUGACGCUGAGGAGCGAAAGCAUGGGGAGCGAACAGGAUUAGAUACCCUUGUAGUC
RNAcentral lists this ribosomal RNA (444 nucleotides) under uncultured Microbacteriaceae bacterium. Its description in RNAcentral is "bacterial SSU rRNA". It matches the Rfam family "Bacterial small subunit ribosomal RNA", at positions 339 to 795 of the family's 1533-position model. The record is from RNAcentral. Lineage: Bacteria; Bacillati; Actinomycetota; Actinomycetes; Micrococcales; Microbacteriaceae.